UAGCUCAGUGGCAUAAGCGCCUGCCUUAGAAGUAGGCAGUCCUUUUAGUGGCUAUGCUUAUGGGAUAGAUGAAAGUUGCCAUGAUCUGAAGAGGGAGGGCUUUUCAGUGCCCUCCUCCUAUAUGAAAUGGCUGAACAGAAGAAA
This is a small nucleolar RNA of Cavia porcellus (domestic guinea pig), 144 nucleotides long. Ensembl annotates it as small nucleolar RNA SNORA29. The record is from Ensembl. Lineage: Eukaryota; Metazoa; Chordata; Mammalia; Rodentia; Caviidae.